Molecule: ribosomal RNA, 787 nt
Filed under: uncultured bacterium
Lineage: Bacteria
Description: bacterial SSU rRNA
Rfam family: Bacterial small subunit ribosomal RNA
Source: RNAcentral
UGCUUAACACAUGCAAGUCGAGCGGAAAGGCCCUUCGGGGUACUCGAGCGGCGAACGGGUGAGUAACACGUGAGUAACCUGCCCCAGGCUUUGGGAUAACCCUCGGAAACGGGGGCUAAUACCGAAUAUUCACUUUGUGUGGCAUCACAUUGGGUGGAAAGUUUUUCGGCUUGGGAUGGGCUCGCGGCCUAUCAGCUUGUUGGUGGGGUGAUGGCCUACCAAGGCGACGACGGGUAGCCGGCCUGAGAGGGCGACCGGCCACACUGGGACUGAGACACGGCCCAGACUCCUACGGGAGGCAGCAGUGGGGAAUAUUGCACAAUGGGCGGAAGCCUGAUGCAGCGACGCCGCGUGAGGGAUGAAGGCCUUCGGGUUGUAAACCUCUUUCGACAAGGACGAAGCGCAAGUGACGGUACCUGGAGAAGAAGCGCCGGCCAACUACGUGCCAGCAGCCGCGGUAAGACGUAGGGCGCGAGCGUUGUCCGGAUUUAUUGGGCGUAAAGAGCUCGUAGGCGGCUUGUUGCGUCAGCUGUGAAAACCCGCAGCUCAACUGUGGGCUUGCAGCUGAUACGGGCAGGCUUGAGUUCGGUAGGGGAGACUGGAAUUCCUGGUGUAGCGGUGAAAUGCGCAGAUAUCAGGAGGAACACCGGUGGCGAAGGCGGGUCUCUGGGCCGAUACUGACGCUGAGGAGCGAAAGCGUGGGGAGCGAACAGGAUUAGAUACCCUGGUAGUCCACGCUGUAAACGUUGGGCGCUAAGUGUGGGGGGCCUCUCCGGUUCUCUGUGCC